UAUAAACCCACACUCCUGACAACUCCCAAGAUUUGUAAAAAUCAAACCACAGAUGCUCCUGCAGAGAAGGGGGGAAGAAAAUGGUGUGAAUCCCGUUUCAAGUCGCAGUAAGCUACCGUUUAAAAUCAUGAUUUAAAAAGAGUACAUCAUGAGAAAUGCUGGACUGGAAGAAACACAAGCCGGAAUCAAGAUUGCCGGGA
This is a long non-coding RNA of Bubalus bubalis (water buffalo), 200 nucleotides long. RefSeq lists it as uncharacterized. The record is from RefSeq and is a predicted model, not a curated record. Lineage: Eukaryota; Metazoa; Chordata; Mammalia; Artiodactyla; Bovidae. The transcript is spliced from 3 exons.